Molecule: long non-coding RNA, 444 nt
Filed under: Physcomitrium patens
Lineage: Eukaryota; Viridiplantae; Streptophyta; Bryopsida; Funariales; Funariaceae
Description: long non-coding RNA (PPAT_LNC005296)
Source: RNAcentral
UAUUAAAUAAUUUAUUUUUACAAAAAGAUAUAAAAUUUAAUUAUGAUAUGAGAGAUACAAUAUAAACGUUACUCUAAAAAGUCUCAAUAUUAAUCAAAUAAACAUGAGAUAUCUUUAGCUUAUUAUACACUAGUAGUAAUAGUUCAAACGAUGUAUCAAUUCUUUUAGUGGAUAAUAUAUAUCAAAGUUUGUAAAAAAUAUUAACUUAUAGAUCUUAUACUUUAUUAAGUUAAGAAAAUAAACCAAAAAUAAUCUUAUUCCUCUUUGUAAAUUCAUUCCUAAAGAGAAAUAGUAGGAAAAAAAUAGCAAUAAAAAUACCUAUAAUACUUAAGUAAAUUUAAGUACAUAAAAACAAGGGAGUUGUUAAAGCAACACCCACAUUGCCAUCUCAUAAUAGAUUUUUUCCAUCCCCAUCUCCGUCCCUUGUUUCAUGUCUCCCAUCCC